Molecule: ribosomal RNA, 344 nt
Filed under: uncultured bacterium
Lineage: Bacteria
Description: bacterial SSU rRNA
Rfam family: Bacterial small subunit ribosomal RNA
Source: RNAcentral
GACGUGACUUCAGAGUUUGAUCCUGGCUCAGGAUGAACGCUAGCGGCAGGCCUAAUACAUGCAAGUCGAACGGGAUCCAGGGGAAAGCUUGCUUUCUUUGGUGAGAGUGGCGCACGGGUGCGUAACGCGUGAGCAACCUACCCAUGUCUGGGGGAUAGCCCCUCGAAAGAGGGAUUAAUACCGCAUAACAUUAUAGAUUCUCAUGGAUUUAUAAUCAAACUUUUUGGGACAUGGAUGGGCUCGCGUGACAUUAGCUAGUUGGUAAGGUAACGGCUUACCAAGGCGACGAUGUCUAGAGGCUCUGAGAGGAGAAUCCCCCACACUGGUACUGAGACACGGACCAG